CCAACCAUAUUUAACUCGAUCAAUGAUUACCUUUAUAGAGAAAAUAUAUGCAAAGCAAUUAAGCAAGAAAAUAGUGCAAUUGAAUUGAAUGCAGAUAGAAAUAAAAAAAUAAAAAAUAAAAAGAAGAAGAAGAAUGUACACAGAAAUAGUAAGGGUGGUCCUUGUUUUAGAGUUUAUAUAUUUUUUAGAUAUUCCUUUAACAGAAAGUGGGUCGUUUGGAAUAGGGCUAUUUUGAGAGAGAAUAUAAGUCAACUGUCAAAGGACUUCUUUAAAAGGAAAGAUGCUUGACAAUAAGGAUGGCAUUGGCAUGUGAUGGGAGCAUUGUGGACAUCAUUGGCAACAUGGAAGUUGACUUGACUUCAAUGACAAGACCAACUAUACCUAUAAAUAAAUAAAAAAUAAAAAAUUCAAAGUUAUAUAAUAAUGCAUUGUCUUUGCACUAUACUUACAGAAACGGUCAUCGUUAAAUCUUAUUAACGAUUAAAUAUUUACAGAUUCAAUCAUCACGUCAAUUCAUCCUCUUUAGAUUAUUUAACCUUAACUUCUCUAAACUUACUUGUACCUUAAAUGAUAUUUAGCCUAACUUUAUGUCAAAGAAAGCCUAACAUAAUGGUUAAACAUUCCCUAAUAAAAAAAAUGGUUAAACAUUUUCUUUUACCAAGAUAUUAGCUAAACAUAAAAAUUAACUUUAUUUAAUUUCCAUGUUUCAUAUCCAUAUACCUCUUUAGAUUGCUUCUUUUAAUUUAAGGUGCUAUUAGCAAUAUAGUAGUAUUAUAUUUUCUAUCAAGAAAAAGUAGUAUACUAAUUUUUUUUUUUUAAUUCAUCAAACAGUUUUAUUCAUAUGAAUUAGGGAUGUUGAAUGAAAUACAAGAAAUAUUCAUUCUAAACACCAAAAGUAUGUUUUUUUAAACCAAAAAUUGAUUAAUAUAUAAUAAUAACAAUCAACACACAAGACGUGCAUUAAAAAAAUAGAAGAAACCAUUACAUCCUACAAAAAUACAUCAAAAAGCUAACCAAACCUGCCUCUGAAAAAUUAGCAAAGCAAUAAUUGACCAUUGUCACGAUAUGAAACUAAUUAUGUAAAGUUAAUACGAUCCAUAUUUUUUUUUGACAAGUAAUACGAUCCAUAUUGUUCAUUUUAAUUUCCACUUUAUAAUCUAGUGUAGAGAUUGGAAAAAAGAAUUUAAUGGAUCAUUUUUUUUAGAGGACAAUUGAAUGGAUCAUGCACCACCACGAUGUUGAACGAUGUUGAAUAAAUCUUCUAAGUGGGACCUACUGAAUAUUGGAAAAAUUUCUUAGUCCAAGUUUAUUCUAAGCACAAUUUUUCUAUUCCCAGUGCCAAAUUCAUACUUAGUACAUUCCUUACUUAGCACACUUUUGAAGCUUUUGAGAGCUUAGAUAUAGGAGAAUUUUGUUUGUGUGAGAGCAGUUGUUGUUGGUUAAUAUUAUCCUAAAAUGUGUGUUGAUAAUAAUAAGGCUUAACAGCGGGUAUGACCCCCUAAAUAUUAGGACGUUUCGAUUUUGAUCCCCUGAUAAAAUAAAAUAAAAUAUAAUUCAGCCUCUUAAAAAUUGUCCAUUUUGCGGUUUUGACCUCUAUGACUAAUUUUGACCAAUUUAACGUUGACGUGUGUAGUUUUAAAAAAAAUAUUUAAAAUGCCACGUGUGAAAUGUUUUAAUUAAAAAAUAAAUUAAAAAAAUUAAUUACACAAGUGGCAUCCACAUCAACUUUGAAUUGAUCAAAAUUGACCUAAGAACAAUACUUAAGGGGCUGAAUUGUAUUUUAUUUUGUUAGAGGACUAAAAUCACAACUUUCUGAUACCUAAAAGACCAAAACUGUUAUUAAACCUAAUAAUAAUCCUCAUUUGAAAUUUGUGUCCUAUACUAAAUUAAAAACCAUUGUUUAUGAGGAGAUUUUAAAUGUUGAUAUCUUGCAAUAUGAAGACAUUGAUGUUGAAAUAGAUGAGAUGAAGUCACAAACUUCGACGGUGCAGCAAAUCGUGAUUGAAAUUAUAAUUUGAGUUUCUCUUUUGCAGAGAGCUUUAAAUUUUUUUUUUUUUUUUAAUAAGCUAAAAUGAUAUAUUAUCAAACCAACAAAGCAGUCAACACAACACAAGGUGUGUCUUAGAGACUACCAGAAAUACACUGAAUUAACAGUGACACAAGGAACUAAACAAAACAACAUUGGCCUAUGCCCAAACAAGUUAAAGGGUUUGACCACCAUUGUUGAGUUCCAUAAGUAAAAAUGGUUUUUUUAGCUUUCAGUCAUCCUAAAGACAACACCUUAUCAAACAAAUAAGGAAUGGGAGUGAUUACAUUUUUAAACAAGCGACUAUUGCGCUCAUUCCACACAACCCAAACACAGAGGAGCCAAGGUUUUAAAAAUUCUAUUAACUAGUUUUUUGGGUUCAACUCAUUUGAAUCAACUAUCUCAUAACAACAAAUAUAGCAUCAUAGCCAAGGUUUUAUUCAAGUUCUCUUCAAGUUCAAAAAAUAUUUCCAAGAAAAAUCAGAGAACACAAUUGUUCAUAAUAUCUAAUCCAAGGGAGAUCUUUAUAAUAGUAUGUAAUUUUCAUUUUCAAUGAGUUCGGUUUAUGCCUCUUAGGUUUCUGAUUUGGGAGUUUCUACGGUACACCCUUCAAUUAAGGUGUACCAGUACACAUAUUUCAUAAAUCUACAAGUUAACGAUAAUUUUUAUGUGAUAAACAGAUAUUUAUCGACUUUUAUAUUUUAGAAAAUAUUAUCCCAUAAGAAAAAACAUCAUUUCAUUUUUUAUAAGAAUUAUACCAAAUUUUUUAACAUUUUAUUGAAAAAAAUAAUCAAUAUUCACUAUUAUGAGUAAUAAAAAUUAAAAAAAUUUGAAUUUUGCUUUGCCGACACUUUUGAAAAAUAAAAUAUAAUUAUUAUAAUUAUAAAUGAUAGAAAAUAUUUUUUUUCUAAAAAAAAUAAAUCAUUAAACUAUUCAUUUAAAUACACGGGUGUAUCGGUACAUUCAAAAUUAUCGAGUGUACCAUAGAAAUUGCCUUCUGAUUUUCCUAUUUUUUGUAAUAAUAUAUAUUAGCAUAUAAAACAAAUUCUAUCUUUAUUUAAUUAUACUCCUUUCAUCAAUGAAAAUAUACAUAAAUACAGAUACCAAAAAAAAAAAAACAAAUCUAAAUACCCAUCACAUUCAUUUAUGUUGCUUGUAUUAUUUGCUCCCAUAUAGUAACUAUACAUUGUUAUUUCUUACCUUCCUUCAAAAAAAAAAAAAAACCUUGUUAUUUCUUACCUAAGGCUCCCUUAUCGCGUGGAAAGAAUCAUGAAUAAUGAACCAUGUCAUAUAGGUAGCUGAUUCAAACUAAAGGAAAUGAUCCACUUGCAUUUUUUUUUUUACAAAACACAAUAUCUUCAUUUAUUCAAAUUUGAUAUAAUACAUAUACAAUAACAUGAUCAACGUCACUAAAAACAUAAAAGGUAAAUAUGCAAACAAACUCAUACACCCAUGUUAAUAACAUACAACGGUAAAAUAAAUAUGAUAAAAUCUAAAUCACUAGAAUACUCAUGCUUAUGAAUCUGCAAUAUUGACGUCCAAAUCAUUAAUUGACUAAAGAUGAUUUUUCAAUAUGAACCAAACAAACACCGCAAUAAGACGCAAAAUCAAACAACGCCGCAAAAGACGACGAACAACACAACGCCACAUUCAAACGAUGAAAUCACGAAGAAAAAAAACACAAGAAAAAACUUAUUAUAUGUGAAAAUCACUUAUUUAAAUCUAAAGAAAUGGAAGGAAAAAAAAAUGCAUAUGGAUGAUUCUAAAUCAAAAAUUGAUCUAAAUCCACCAUUCUUUGAUGAGUGAAAGAGAAAACGAACUUCAAUCAACUUGCAAAAAUUUUAUGAAUCUGUUGAAAUUAUGUUAAGCCAAAAAAACAUCAUUGACUAUCAAACCUAAUAAUAAUCCAAGUUUAGUAAAAAAAUAUUCCAAUCAAAGUAUUUUGAAUUGGUUAGCCCACUGAUUUUAUGUAUUUUUUUCCACGUGCCCGAUCUUUGCAGUGUCACCCCAUGGUAUAUUUUUCCUAAAACUAACUUUUAUAUUUUCAACCUAAUUAUUACUUUUGAGAUUGUCUUUAUCUGUUUUGAAAGGAUAAAAGAGAAAUAAUAAUAAACUUGACAAAAAAAUAGAGAAAUAAUAUAAAAUAUUAAUGAAAAAAAUGAAUGACAUUGAACC
RNAcentral lists this long non-coding RNA (4201 nucleotides) under Medicago truncatula (barrel medic). RNAcentral's name for it is "long non-coding RNA (MTRU_LNC004618)". The record is from RNAcentral. Lineage: Eukaryota; Viridiplantae; Streptophyta; Magnoliopsida; Fabales; Fabaceae.